This 5691-nucleotide small RNA is filed under the name Pan troglodytes (chimpanzee). RNAcentral describes it as "retained intron". Lineage: Eukaryota; Metazoa; Chordata; Mammalia; Primates; Hominidae. The record is from RNAcentral.
AUUCCUUUGUCUUGUGUUUCUCCCGCCAUCCCAGCGAGGCUGCCCCUGCUAGGGUCUCAGAAAUACCUGACCACGCAGUUUCAGUUUAUACCAUCCCCUUAGGAAAUGCCUUCUCUUCCUUUCCUGAAUCUCUUCAGGCCCCAUCGCUUCCGUGUUAUUAAUCUUUACAGUGGCAUCAGGAAUGGAUGGGUUGUCUAGGUUUUGUGGGAGUAGCUCUGUGUCUGUCAGCUUCCAAAGGUGUAGUCAAGCUGGAUCUGAAGGGUUAGGAGCAGAGGGCAAGCUAGAGGGAGCAGGUAGGUCCAGGAGGCAACAUGUGCCACUCACCGAAUGCUUUCUGGCCAAGGCCAGGACUAGGAAACAGGAAGGUCCUCCCCGUGUCAUGCCAGCAUCUUUCGUGAGGAUUUCCAGAGAAGAGGGUAAAAGAAUCCAAACCACCAAGUUGAGUAUGAGAGGAGACAUAACUUUUGUGGUAGUACCAUGAAAACCAUUUCACAGUGUUCCUAGGUGCCAUUUCCCCACCCUCCGCUCUCUUUCUUCCCUGUCUCUCCCUGCUUUCCCUUCUUGCUUUCUCUCCCGUAUCUUUGAGCUACUUGGUGGCCAGCCUGAAAUGAUUAUGCUCCUGCAGAGCCUCCCCUUUGUCACUCACUGUAGGAAACUGGGUCCCACUGAUUCUGAUACCUGAGGAGUUGGCCUAGAAAUCAGAGCUGUUUCUUCCCCUGGAGUCCUCAACUUCCCAAUCAUGUCAUGGACCUUUCAGGCAUUAUUUACUGCCUUGGAACUGAGCUAGCAGUUUGGGCUACUAGACCUUUAAAACAGUGCGAGGGAGAAGAGGUCCACUGACAGACAGCCCAGGUUGCGUCUGUGCAAGUUCACUGGUGCUCAUAGCCUGGGCACAUGCCCCCACACGGUCUGAUGCCCCAUCUUUCCACAGCGUCUUUCCCUAGGGCUCCACAUAGCUUGCAGCCUGCAGGAGAGAGAGACAUUAAAAGGUACCAUCUCAGGGAAAAAAGAUGUUUUCAGCCAAGGUUGGAAAUGAGUUGGAGGGUUGAUGAGGUGGAGAGCUGUGGGGGAAGGCUCUUUCUGAGGGCAGGAUUCUCAGAGGAGGUGGCAGCCACAUGUCUUAUAUAUGCAUUAGUUGGGCUGUGUCAGGGGACUGAGAGGAAGCCAGGCUUUGGAAGGAAGGAGGAGAUGGAGUUGGGAGCAGAAGAGAAUUGAAGGCAUAGGCUGAAGAUCAUUUCUGGUCCGAGUUAUGAUUUUAGGAAAGGGGAAACGAAAGGUCUUUAUGGUAAUUCAGAGAUGACAGUAGCCUGUCCUGUCUUCCUCUCUCUAUAGUCUCAAGGUGCUGCAAUGGGAUUCGUAAGCCCUUGUUUUCCUCUACUGUUCUAAUCCGAUCCUGCCCGCUGCUUUCCAUCUGCAGUGGGACUCGAGCUGGAGGGAGAAGGGAUUCUGAGUCCACAGCAGGGAGGACCAGCUCCCCUGUUUGACUCUUGCCCAGCCCUCUUUGUUUUGGGUCAUGCCCACACUUUCCGCUUAGGUUGACUGAGCCACCGUGCCAGGCCUGCAACAGCCUGAGUGCUGUGCGAGGAGGGUGUGUGGUGAGGCUACUUUCCACCGUAAGAUUGAGGGACCUGGACGUGGAGACACAUUCUGGCCUUUAGGAAAGUCACUCUGGGAGACAAAAUGCUUUAUCCUGCUCAUGGUUUCCUCAUGCUUUAUCCUGCUCAUGCUUUAUCCUGCUCAGAAUGUUCUCAGGAUUCCUCUUUGGGCAUUUCCUUGAAGAACCAGAAAACAAGCAAAAUAACAGUCCUUAUUACUUUAUACACAUCUUUUUAAUGGAUACCAUUAUUCCUGAUCUCACCACCCUCCUAUGUAUCCAGGUCAGCUCUGAAUUCCUUUUAUUCAUUUCUAAACAUUUAAUUAACUCUAAGCAGACGAAAACGUGCCCCCAUGGGUAGACGGGGAACAUGGCACUCGUGCAUGCUUGCUACAUUUUUUGGCUUAGGGGAGCAUCUCCUCCUGGCCCCCUUCGUGGUGUGAUAGGGGAGCUUCCUAUUCCUGGGCCUUCCUGGACUGUUGUAGUUCUCAGAGCUGGGAUACCUGCUGCUGCUUCUUUCAUGGGCCCAUAUACAUUGGCCACUACUCAGUUUGGGAGGCAGAAAGCAGUCUCUGGGGACUGUUCACAAAUUGCUGGCAUGAGCCUCAAGUAGCAGGCAGAGCUCUAGUGGGGAGGUGGUAACGGGGCUGUGAGCCAUUCUAGGAAGGAAUCCAUUAGGGACAGAGCUUCACUCUCUCCCUGCUGCUGCCAGCUCUUGAGCUGGAGCUUCAGAUUUUGAUCUUGGGCCAUAACCUCGUAAGUCUGCUGAGAGCCUGCUAUGGGCUACCCUUCUCCCUACGCUCUUGGGGCCUUAAACAGCCACAGUGGGGCUUGUCCUAUGGAACAAGCAUUGACUGUAUCUCUUGCCUGCCCUUGGGUGACCUGUUUGACUCUUGAUUGUGGGCCCUCCAUUAGGAUUCCAUCUGUGAUGUUCCAUAUCCAUUCUAACCUGGAUGCAGAGGUGGGUGGACAUUAACCCUGUGAUGAUAUGCCAUUCCCCACCCAUGGUAGGCGAUCCACAGAGCCUGUGGCUCCCCCAGAGCAGCUCUCAGAGGCUGCACUAAAGGCCAUGGAAGAGGCAGUGGCCCAAGUACUCGAGCAAGACCAGAGGCACCUGCUGGAAUCAAAGCAAGAGAAGAUGCAGCAACUGCGGGAGAAGCUGUGCCAAGAGGAGGAAGAGGAGAUCCUCCGGCUUCACCAGCAGAAAGAGCAAUCUCUCAGUUCCUUGAGGGAGCGGCUGCAGAAAGCCAUUGAGGAGGAGGAGGCCCGGAUGAGAGAGGAGGAAAGCCAGAGGCUAUCCUGGCUCCGAGCUCAGGUCCAGUCCAGCACACAAGCAGAUGAGGACCAAAUCAGGGCUGAGCAAGAGGCUUCCCUGCAGAAACUGAGAGAAGAGUUGGAGUCUCAACAGAAGGCUGAGAGGGCCAGCUUGGAACAGAAAAAUAGGCAAAUGCUGGAGCAGCUCAAGGAAGAGAUAGAGGCUUCGGAGAAGAGCGAGCAGGCUGCCCUGAAUGCUGCAAAGGAGAAGGCUCUGCAGCAGCUGAGGGAGCAGCUGGAAGGGGAGAGGAAAGAAGCUGUGGCAACGCUGGAGAAGGAGCACAGUGCUGAGCUGGAGCGGCUCUGCUCCUCAUUGGAGGCCAAGCACCGGGAGGUGGUCUCCAGCCUCCAGAAGAAGAUAGAGGAAGCUCAACAGAAAGAGGAAGCCCAGCUGCAGAAGUGCCUUGGGCAAGUGGAGCACAGAGUUCACCAGAAGGCUUAUCACGUGGCUGGGUAUGAGCACGAGCUCAGCAGUCUCCUGCGAGAGAAGCGCCAGGAAGUGGAAGGGGAGCAUGAGAGGAGGUUGGACAAGAUGAAGGAGGAGCACCAGCAAGUGAUGGCUAAGGCCAGAGAGCAGUAUGAAGCUGAGGAGAGGAAGCAGCGGGCUGAGCUUCUGGGGCACCUGACCGGAGAGCUGGAGCGCCUGCAGAGGGCCCAUGAACGAGAACUGGAGACUGUGAGGCAGGAGCAACACAAGCGUCUUGAGGACUUGCGGCGCCGGCACAGGGAGCAGGAAAGGAAGCUCCAGGAUUUAGAGUUGGACCUUGAAACCAGAGCUAAAGAUGUCAAGGCCAGAUUGGCUCUGCUGGAGGUCCAGGAGGAGACCGCCCGGAGGGAGAAGCAGCAGCUGCUUGAUGUGCAGAGGCAGGUUGCUCUGAAGAGUGAGGAAGCCACAGCCACCCAUCAGCAGCUGGAGGAGGCACAGAAGGAGCACACCCACCUGUUGCAGUCAAACCAGCAGCUCCGAGAAAUUCUUGAUGAGCUGCAGGCCCGCAAGCUGAAGCUGGAGUCCCAAGUGGAUCUGCUGCAGGCUCAGAGCCAGCAACUGCAGAAACACAUCAGCAGCCUGGAGGCUGAAGCUCAAAAGAAGCAGCACCUGUUGAGAGAAGUGACAGUUGAGGAAAAUAAUGCUUCCCCACAUUUUGAGCCAGAUCUCCACAUUGAGGACCUGAGGAAAUCCCUUGGAACAAACCAGACCAAAGAGGUGUCUUCUUCUCUCUCCCAGAGCAAGGAGGACUUAUACUUGGACAGCCUGUCCUCCCACAAUGUCUGGCACCUCCUCUCUGCUGAGGGGGUAGCCCUCCGUAGUGCCAAGGAGUUCCUUGUGCGGCAGACACGCUCCAUGCGGAGGCGGCAGACAGCUCUGAAAGCUGCCCAGCAGCAUUGGCGCCAUGAGCUGGCCAGUGCGCAGGAGGUGGCCAAAGACCCACCAGGCAUCAAGGCCCUGGAAGAUAUGCGCAAGAACCUGGAGAAGGAGACCAGGCACCUGGAUGAGAUGAAGUCGGCCAUGCGGAAAGGCCACAACCUGCUGAAGAAGAAAGAGGAGAAGCUGAAUCAGCUGGAGUCCUCUCUUUGGGAAGAGGCCUCAGAUGAGGGCACUCUGGGAGGAUCCCCCACCAAGAAGGCAGUAACCUUCGACCUCAGUGACAUGGACAGCCUGAGCAGUGAAAGUUCUGAAUCUUUUUCCCCGCCUCACCUCGACUCAACCCCGAGUCUCACCUCCCACAAGAUCCACGGGCUUAGCCACUCCCUCCGGCAGAUCAGCAGUCAGCUGAGCAGUGUCCUCAGCAUCCUGGACAGCCUCAACCCUCAGUCGCCGCCGCCGCUUCUCGCCUCCAUGCCAGCCCAGCUCCCUCCCCGGGACCCUAAGAGCACCCCCACCCCCACCUACUAUGGCUCCCUGGCCAGGUUCUCAGCCUUAUCAUCUGCUACACCCACGUCCACCCAAUGGGCCUGGGAUUCAGGGCAGGGGCCCAGGCUCCCCUCUUCUGUGGCUCAAACGGUGGACGACUUCCUGUUGGAGAAGUGGCGCAAGUAUUUUCCAUGUAAGCCCCACUCUGGGUGGAGCCUUCCCACCUGCCUCCUCCUCCUCCUCUUCCUUCCUUUUCUUCUGCCCUCUUUCUCCUGCUCCUUUUUUCCUCUUCCUCUUUUGCAUUCCUUUGCCACACCUCUCCUCCCCCAACGUUGCCAUAGUCCAUUGGUCCAUUGACUCUACCUGUGGGUCCCUGGGGAAGGAGACAUUGCAGGUGGCCCUGCAGCCAGGAGUUCUAUGGGUUGGGACGGUUUAGAUGGAGCCUGGCUGACUGGGGCCUUUAUUAUGGAUUCUGGAGCUCAGCAGAACCUAAAAGGUCAUUGUUGUCAUUAUCUUAAUAGCUACCAUCUUGUGCAAUACAUGAUGAGCCAAGCACUUUAUAUAUAUUUUUUCAUUUAGUUCUUAAUUCUCUGAGGUAGUAAUUAUUUAUCCCCAUUUUACAGAUGAGGAAACUGAGUUUCAGAGAGUUUAAGUAGUAUGCUCCAGGGUACCCAGUGAGUGAGUAACAAACUCAGUUGUGACCCCAUGUCUCUGUGACUCCAGGAUUCUGCUUGGAACCUCUUGGCUGUGUGGCUAAUUCUUGCUUCUGAGCCAGGUGGCCUCCCCGGGUCUCAGCCCUGCUGAGGAUUAUGAAAAGCCAUAAAACACAAGGCAUUUGAGGGAAAACAAAAUAUCUUCUUUCUGCCCUAACCCAAAUUGAAAAGUAGAUUAAGUUUUAAAAAUAAAAGAAAUAGGACCAUUCCUAUCUCUC